Molecule: long non-coding RNA, 721 nt
Organism: Nylanderia fulva
Lineage: Eukaryota; Metazoa; Arthropoda; Insecta; Hymenoptera; Formicidae
Source: RefSeq, a predicted model, not a curated record
CGCUUCACUCUAAGCGAUAUAUUUCCGAACACAAUCUAGGGCUGUUGCCUGCCCUCUAGUGUACUUUCUCAUUUCUCAUCGUUCACGACCAACGUUCGCGCGCUCUUUAUCGCCGGUCCGCCAAAAGUACAAGCAUCAAAAAACGUAAUAAUACGUAGCAAUAAAAGGACUCAUGCAAAAGUUUGAAAGCCGCAAAAGAAAUGAUAUCCGAAUGCUUUAGAUUAAUUUUGCUGAAGACAACAAUUCUGUAUAAGGAUGAGGUCUAAGAGAGACAUAAAGCAUAGAUGGAAUAAUUUUUGGAUCUUUGUUGAAGAUAUUGACAAUCUUAGAGGAGGAGAAAAUCUUGGGAAAGGCAUAGAACGUAGAUGAAGCUGUUUUAAGAUAAUUUGAAUACAGAGGACAUUGACAACCUGAGAGGAGGAGGAGGCCUGGGAGAGGCAUUGGGCACUGAUGGAGCAAUCCUAAGAUCAGCGUGGCUUCGUAAUUCCACUGUUACGCACCGACCGAUAAGUAAUAAAUUAUUUUAUUACGAGGUAACGGUGUAAAGAUUAGAUUGUAGAUGUAGAUCUAGAUUGUAGAUUGUAGAUUGGUAGAUAGUUCCGUUACCUCAAAAUGAAUGGAUUAUAAAUAAAUAGAUAUAGAUUAAGAAUAUUUCCGGAAUAAUUAAAGGAAAUACGGAAAACAUUUUAUAAUUCAUAUACGUAGUAUAUUUAAUCUAAUU